Non-coding RNA from Erinaceus europaeus (western European hedgehog), 164 nucleotides. The record is from Rfam. Lineage: Eukaryota; Metazoa; Chordata; Mammalia; Eulipotyphla; Erinaceidae.
GUACUUACCUGGCAGGGGAGAUACCAUGAUCACAAAGGUGGUUUUCCCUGAGCAAGACUUAUCCUUUGCACUUCAGUUGUGUUGAACCCUGCAAUUUCCCCAAAUAUGGGAAAGUUGACUACAUAAUUUGUGGUAGUGGGGGAUUGCAUUUGUGCUCUUCUGGU